RNAcentral lists this ribosomal RNA (253 nucleotides) under uncultured bacterium. RNAcentral's name for it is "partial 16S ribosomal RNA". It matches the Rfam family "Bacterial small subunit ribosomal RNA", at positions 524 to 776 of the family's 1533-position model. The record is from RNAcentral.
UACGUAGGCAGCGAGCGUUGUUCGGAAUUACUGGGCGUAAAGAGUGUGUAGGCGGUGUUCCCAGUCUGUUGUGAAAUCUCCCGGCUUAACUGGGAGGGUGCAGCGGAAACUAGAAUGCUAGAGGGUGGGAGAGGUAAGCGGAAUUCCUGGUGUAGCGGUGAAAUGCGUAGAUAUCAGGAGGAACACCUGUGGUGUAGACAGCUUACUGGACCACUUCUGACGCUGAGACACGAAGGCGUGGGUAGCAAACAGG